This is a non-coding RNA of 357 nucleotides. It matches the Rfam family "transfer-messenger RNA". Rfam says of the family: Bacterial tmRNA, also known as 10Sa RNA or SsrA, is named for its dual tRNA and mRNA-like properties. The record is from Rfam.
GGGGACGUUACGGAUUCGACAGGGAUGGUUUGAGCUUGAGUUGCGAGCCGGGGGGAUCGUCCUCGUUACUAACGUCGAGUUAAUUAUAACUGGCAAACAAAACAAUUUCGCUUUAGCAGCAUAAUGCUAGAGGCCCUUUCCUUCCAUCGCCCAUGUGGAAGUGUAGAGGGUUCACUAUGAAGUGGGCUACGCUUAAGGCCACCGUCUGAGGUCUUAAGAAGAGACUAAUCAGACUAGCUCCUCGGACGCCUGUCGGUAGGCAUAAGAGAGAGCGAAUUGCGAAUAUGCCGACUACGCUCGUAGAUGCUUAAGUAUCAAUAUCUUUGGACGUGGGUUCGACUCCCACCGUCUCCACCA